Molecule: small nucleolar RNA, 132 nt
Organism: Arvicanthis niloticus (Nile rat)
Lineage: Eukaryota; Metazoa; Chordata; Mammalia; Rodentia; Muridae
Product: small nucleolar RNA SNORA17
Source: RefSeq, a predicted model, not a curated record
CCUACACUUAGAGUCAUUACAGGUAUGUCUGCUGGAUCACAUGUAUAGCUAUAGGUUGCAGAAGGGAGAGAGGCUAUGUCUAUACUCAGUAUUCCGAUCUAUGAACAUCUAAGUGAUUAGUAACCUAAAACG